GAUGAACGCUGGCGGCGUGCCUAAUACAUGCAAGUCGAGCGAACGGACGAGAAGCUUGCUGCUCUGAUGUUAGCGGCGGACGGGUGAGUAACACGUGGAUAACCUACCUAUAAGUCUGGGAUAACUUCGGGAAACCGGAGCUAAUACCGGAGAAUAUUUUGAACCGCAUGGUUCAAAAGUGAAAGACGGUCUUGCUGUCACUUAUAGAUGGAUCCGCGCUGCAUUAGCUAGUUGGUAAGGUAACGGCUUACCAAGGCAACGAUGCAUAGCCGACCUGAGAGGGUGAUCGGCCGCACUGGAGGUGAGACACGGUCCAGACUCCUACGGGAGGCAGCAGUAGGGAAUCGGCGGCAAUGGGCGAGAGCCUGACGGAGCAACGCCGAGUGAGUGAUGAAGGUCUUCGGAGCGUAAUACUCUGUUAUUAGGGAAGAACAUAUUUGUACGGAACUGAGCACAUCGUGACGGUAACGGGUCAGAAAGCACCGGCUAACUACGUG
Molecule: ribosomal RNA, 497 nt
Filed under: uncultured bacterium
Lineage: Bacteria
Description: partial 16S ribosomal RNA
Rfam family: Bacterial small subunit ribosomal RNA
Source: RNAcentral